GUGAGGAAUUUUCCGCAAUGGGCGAAAGCCUGACGGAGCAAUGCCGCGUGAAGGAUGAAGGCCUAUGGGUUGUAAACUUCUUUUCUUAGAGAAGAAUAUUGACGGUAUCUGAGGAAUAAGCAUCGGCUAACUCUGUGCCAGCAGCCGCGGUAAGACAGAGGAUGCAAGCGUUAUCCGGAAUGAUUGGGCGUAAAGCGUCUGUAGGUGGCUUCAAAAGUCUCCUGUCAAGGAUCAUGGCUUAACCCUGGGCCGGCAGGAGAACCUCUGAGGCUAGAGUGUGGUAGGGGCAGAGGGAAUUCCCGGUGGGGCGGUGAAAUGCGUAGAGAUCAGGAGGAACACCAAAGGCGAAAGCACUCUGCUGGGCCACAACUGACACUGAGAGACGAAAGCGAGGGGAGCAAAAGGGAUUAGAAACCCUGGUAGUCC
Molecule: ribosomal RNA, 426 nt
Filed under: uncultured bacterium
Lineage: Bacteria
Description: partial 16S ribosomal RNA
Rfam family: Bacterial small subunit ribosomal RNA
Source: RNAcentral